AUUGAACGCUGGCGGCAGGCCUAACACAUGCAAGUCGAGCGGCAGCGGAAAGUAGCUUGAUACUUUGCCGGCGAGCGGCGGACGGGUGAGUAAUGUCUGGGAAACUGCCUGAUGGAGGGGGAUAACUACUGGAAACGGUAGCUAAUACCGCAUGACCUCGAAAGAGCAAAGUGGGGGAUCUUCGGACCUCACGCCAUCGGAUGUGCCCAGAUGGGAUUAGCUAGUAGGUGAGGUAAUGGCUCACCUAGGCGACGAUCCCUAGCUGGUCUGAGAGGAUGACCAGCCACACUGGAACUGAGACACGGUCCAGACUCCUACGGGAGGCAGAAGUGGGGAAUAUUGGACAAUGGGCGCAAGCCUGAUCCAGCCAUGCCGCGUGUGUGAAGAAGGCCUUUUGGUUGCAAAGCACUUUAAGCGAGGAGGAGGCUACUUGGAUUAAUACUCUAGGAUAGUGGACGUUACUCGCAGAAUAAGCACCGGCUAACUCUGUGCCAGCAGCCGCGGUAAUACAGAGGGUGCGAGCGUUAAUCGGAUUUACUGGGCGUAAAGCGUGCGUAGGCGGCUUUUUAAGCCGGAUGUGAAAUCCCUGAGCUUAACUUAGGAAUUGCAUUCGAUACUGGGGAAGCUAGAGUAUGGGAGAGGAUGGUAGAAUUCCCGGUGUAGCGGUGAAAUGCGUAGAGAUCUGGGAGGAAUACCGAUGGCGAAGGCAGCCAUCUGGCCCUACUACCUGACGCUCAGGUACCAAAAGCGUGGGGAGCCGACAGGGUUAUAUACCCUGGGUGUUCAAGGAGCGAAAUCCCCAAUUGAUAUCAGGGUUUGGAACCCGCCGACCUCUAGGGGGGGGGCCGGUGCCCCCCCUUGUGUUCCUUUCCUCCGUCUUUUUUGUCCCUUUCGGGGGGAC
Molecule: ribosomal RNA, 901 nt
Filed under: uncultured Granulicatella sp.
Lineage: Bacteria; Bacillati; Bacillota; Bacilli; Lactobacillales; Carnobacteriaceae
Description: bacterial SSU rRNA
Rfam family: Bacterial small subunit ribosomal RNA
Source: RNAcentral